UACGGAGGGUGCAAGCGUUAUCCGGAUUCACUGGGUUUAAAGGGUGCGUAGGAGGGCAGGUAAGUCAGUGGUGAAAUCUCCAAGCUUAACUUGGAAACUGCCGUUGAUACUAUCUGUCUUGAAUACCGUGGAGGUGAGCGGAAUAUGUCAUGUAGCGGUGAAAUGCUUAGAUAUGACAUAGAACACCAAUUGCGAAGGCAGCUCACUACACGAAUAUUGACUCUGAGGCCCGAAAGCGUGGGGAUCAAACAGG
This 253-nucleotide ribosomal RNA is filed under the name uncultured bacterium. Its description in RNAcentral is "partial 16S ribosomal RNA". It matches the Rfam family "Bacterial small subunit ribosomal RNA", at positions 524 to 776 of the family's 1533-position model. The record is from RNAcentral.